This 200-nucleotide ribosomal RNA is filed under the name uncultured bacterium. RNAcentral describes it as "partial 16S ribosomal RNA". It matches the Rfam family "Bacterial small subunit ribosomal RNA", at positions 29 to 226 of the family's 1533-position model. The record is from RNAcentral.
AGUGAACGCUGGCGGUAGGCCUAACACAUGCAAGUCGAACGGCAGCACAAGGGAGCUUGCUCCCUGGGUGGCGAGUGGCGGACGGGUGAGGAAUACAUCGGAAUCUACCUUGUCGUGGGGGAUAACCUCGGGAAACCGGGACUAAUACCGCAUACGACCUUCGGUGAAGUAGGGGAUCGCAAGACCUUACGCGAUUGGAU